GCCCUCAUAGCUCAGCAGGCAGAGCGCAUCCAUGGUAAGGAUGAGGUCACCAGUUCGACUCUGGUUGAGGGCUCCA
Molecule: transfer RNA, 76 nt
Filed under: Clostridium thermosuccinogenes
Lineage: Bacteria; Bacillati; Bacillota; Clostridia; Eubacteriales; Clostridiaceae
Description: Pseudoclostridium thermosuccinogenes tRNA-Thr
Source: RNAcentral